RNAcentral lists this ribosomal RNA (501 nucleotides) under uncultured bacterium. RNAcentral's name for it is "partial 16S ribosomal RNA". It matches the Rfam family "Bacterial small subunit ribosomal RNA", at positions 29 to 523 of the family's 1533-position model. The record is from RNAcentral.
AUUGAACGCUGGCGGCAUGCCUUACACAUGCAAGUCGAACGGCAGCACGGGUGCUUGCACCUGGUGGCGAGUGGCGAACGGGUGAGUAAUACAUCGGCACGUACCUUAUCGUGGGGGAUAACGCAGCGAAAGCUGUGCUAAUACCGCAUACGCCCUGAGGGGGAAAGCGGGGGAUCGCAAGACCUCGCGCGAUUAGGGCGGCCGAUGCCUGAUUAGCUAGUUGGUGGGGUAAAAGCCCACCAAGGCGACGAUCAGUAGCUGGUCUGAGAGGCCGAUCAGCAACACUGGGACUGAGACACGGCCCAGACCCCUACGGGAGGCAGCAGUGGGGAAUUUUGGACAAUGGGGGCAACCCUGAUCCAGCAAUGCCGCGUGAGUGAAGAAGGCCUUCGGGUUGUAAAGCUCUUUUGUCAGGGAAGAAACACCGGCUCUAACACAGUCCGGGAAUGACGGUACCUGAAGAAUAGGCACCGGCUAACUACGUGCCAGCCGCCGCCGUAA